RNAcentral lists this small nuclear RNA (23 nucleotides) under Arabidopsis thaliana (thale cress). RNAcentral's name for it is "snRNA_17141". Lineage: Eukaryota; Viridiplantae; Streptophyta; Magnoliopsida; Brassicales; Brassicaceae. The record is from RNAcentral.
GGUUGAAGGUUUAAGGUUAGCUU